Molecule: long non-coding RNA, 1086 nt
Organism: Triticum dicoccoides
Lineage: Eukaryota; Viridiplantae; Streptophyta; Magnoliopsida; Poales; Poaceae
Exons: 4
Source: RefSeq, a predicted model, not a curated record
CUUCCUAAGAACGCAACAAUGCAGACCCAAAAUCCUCCAAUGUGUAGCUGGGCGAUAGCAAGGGCUUGCCGACGGUGGCGGCGGGCCAGAUCCGGUGGCUAGCUGGGCGACUGCGCCCAGCGGAGGUCCAGAUCCAGCACCCGACCGUCUUGUCGGCUUCCUGGCUGCCUCGACAGACCUCCCCUGUGCGGACAAGUACUCUGCUCUUCGUCACCGCCAGCGCGCCGCCGCACAGCGCAUCGAGAGGAACGAGGGUGUUGUUGCCAAGGAGGAGGUCUCCAUGCACCGCCACUUCGACGACCUCCGCGCCCUCGGCAGAUCGAAGCUCUUCAACUAGUACUAAGUUUGUUCUCCGCUGUUUUGGUGUUGCAUCUUGAACUGAAAUGGAGGGAAGUAGUGAGACAUAGCCUUCAGGAGAGCCCACAGUUCCAGUAAUUGCAAAAUUUAUACCAACACUACCAGUCGUGGAAUCGGUCAAUAGUAGUGCUCAAAAUCAAGAUUUCAGCGAUGCUACCUCGUCUGCAGAGAUUAAUUCUCUAAUGCUUCUUAUUGAAUUUCUUUGCCAUUAUUGUAUGUCCAUCAUUAGGCUAUCUUUGUGGUUUACUGGUCAUAGAUGCAUGAUGCCCUGACAACCGGAAACAUCAAGACCGCAGAUGGAUAUAAGAAGCUUUUAUCAAAGUCUUCCCUUUCUGACGAUUGAGAGAAUUUCUAUGGAAGAUAUAUUUAACUGUGUUUUUUGAUUAUGCAUCUGUACGUGUCUGUGCUCAACUGAAUCGUGUUUGCUUGGUGUGACCUCUCCCAGAACAAGAAGCUUAUGAGCAAGAAGUGGUAGAACUGGAGGGGAAUGCUAGAGCUUUUCUAUUAUGACCAUCAAGAUAGUAGAGCUUAUCGUUUUAAAUAGCAAUGCAUGUUGAGUGGUGAUCAUAUUUACUCUGUCUUGUUGGCCAUGUACUAAAAAUGAUGCUACCAUGUCUCAUCAAGAUAUGUAUGCUUGUGAUAUGCUCAAUCCGGGAUGGUCCAGUCUGAUGUUAGUUAUGCUUCAAACGGUGGCUUUGCAGUGACAAUCAUAUUCAACUUCUUUUUGCA